UCGAUACGUAGGGUUGGCUUUUUGGAUCUCAGUUUAUACCAAACAAUGCCUUAGGUCAUCCCUAGGUAUUUCAAUAUUCAUGAAUUUAAUCAAUUAAAUAAUCACAACUUUAAUCAUUUAUUAUUCAUACUAGCAUGCUCGUCUCCCUAUAUUUUCUCUAUCAUUUGGUAUAUUCAAUUACUAACUGCCUAUUUACAGUGAAAAAUAUAGAACUUAGUAAUCUAAUAAUUAAAAAUCUAAAAUUAUUCAUUAUCAUGCCAAAUUUACAAUAAACACGAUUAACCUAAAUACAUGCUCC
RNAcentral lists this long non-coding RNA (298 nucleotides) under Gossypium barbadense (sea-island cotton). Its description in RNAcentral is "long non-coding RNA (GBAR_LNC005160)". The record is from RNAcentral. Lineage: Eukaryota; Viridiplantae; Streptophyta; Magnoliopsida; Malvales; Malvaceae.